Molecule: ribosomal RNA, 306 nt
Filed under: uncultured Planctomycetota bacterium
Lineage: Bacteria; Pseudomonadati; Planctomycetota
Description: bacterial SSU rRNA
Rfam family: Bacterial small subunit ribosomal RNA
Source: RNAcentral
AAUGAACGUUGGCGGCGUGGAUUAGGCAUGCGAGUCGUGCGAGAACCGUAGCAAUACGGGGACAGCGGCGAAAGGGAGAGGAAUACGUGGGUACCUACCCUCGGGUCCGGGAUAGCCAUGGGAAACUAUGGGUAAUACCGGAUAAUGUCUUCGGACCAAAGGUGUGAUUCCGUCCGGGGAGGGGCCCGCGUCCUAUUAGCUAGUUGGCGAGGUAACGGCUCACCAAGGCGAAGAUGGGUACGGGAUGUGAGAGCAUAAUCCCGCUCAUUGGGACUGAGACACUGCCCAGACACCUACGGGUGGCUG